GAUGUCCAUCCUCAGGGACUGGUAAAACUCGACAUAAUCUAUCAAUAAACUCAUAUCUUGCUCCCCGCCAUUGAAUCAUACCCAUCUAUUUUCAAGUCCCACUAUCCAGCGUAGUAUUACCCUCAAUAGGUGGAUAUGGAUCCAUGAUAUCUAACUCAGUCAGUCCUAUCGCUAAAGAUAUCACUAGAACACCAAUUGCUAUCACAGCCAGUUAUCAAAUAGGGCGGU
RNAcentral lists this long non-coding RNA (228 nucleotides) under Jatropha curcas. Its description in RNAcentral is "long non-coding RNA (JCUR_LNC001288)". The record is from RNAcentral. Lineage: Eukaryota; Viridiplantae; Streptophyta; Magnoliopsida; Malpighiales; Euphorbiaceae.